GCAAGUCGAACGGCAGCACGGACUUCGGUCUGGUGGCGAGUGGCGAACGGGUGAGUAAUAUAUCGGAACGUGCCCAGUCGUGGGGGAUAACGUAGCGAAAGUUACGCUAAUACCGCAUACGAUCUACGGAUGAAAGCGGGGGAUCGCAAGACCUCGCGCGAUUGGAGCGGCCGAUAUCAGAUUAGGUAGUUGGUGGGGUAAAGGCUCACCAAGCCAACGAUCUGUAGCUGGUCUGAGAGGACGACCAGCCACACUGGAACUGAGACACGGUCCAGACUCCUACGGGAGGCAGCAGUGGGGAAUUUUGGACAAUGGACGCAAGUCUGAUCCAGCCAUUCCGCGUGCAGGAUGAAGGCCCUCGGGUUGUAAACUGCUUUUGUACGGAACGAAAAGGUCUCUCUUAAUACGAGGGGCUCAUGACGGUACCGUAAGAAUAAGCACCGGCUAACUACGUGCCAGCAGCCGCGGUAAUACGUAGGGUGCAAGCGUUAAUCGGAAUUACUGGGCGUAAAGCGUGCGCAGGCGGUUAUAUAAGACAGAUGUGAAAUCCCCGGGCUCAACCUGGGAACUGCAUUUGUGACUGUAUAGCUAGAGUACGGUAGAGGGGGGUGGAAUUCCGCGUGUAGCAGUGAAAUGCGUAGAUAUGCGGAGGAACACCGAUGGCGAAGGCAAUCCCCUGGACCUGUACUGACGCUCAUGCACGAAGCGUGGGAGCAACAGGAUAGAUACCUGG
RNAcentral lists this ribosomal RNA (733 nucleotides) under uncultured bacterium. RNAcentral describes it as "bacterial SSU rRNA". It matches the Rfam family "Bacterial small subunit ribosomal RNA", at positions 57 to 790 of the family's 1533-position model. The record is from RNAcentral.